Molecule: long non-coding RNA, 372 nt
Organism: Pseudophryne corroboree (corroboree frog)
Lineage: Eukaryota; Metazoa; Chordata; Amphibia; Anura; Myobatrachidae
Exons: 3
Source: RefSeq, a predicted model, not a curated record
UAAAAACCAGUACUGGUUGUCCGACAGUAACUCCCAUUACAUUUGAUGAUGUUGACGCGGCGGAAGCAGGUCCAUCAAAAGAAGUCUGGAGCAGCAGAAGUUGGACUUCAGUAACACAACAGGCAAAAAAAAAAUGGGGCAGCAAAGAAAGCAAGGUCUGAUGUCCAGGGCCAACCACAGCAGGCUACCCCGCCACGAAGAUUAUCGACAGUAUGUUCGGGCCCCACACUCCAAAUUUUGGACACACUUCCAAGACGUGAACCACACUCCCCUCAGCUUGAUUUCCUGGUAACAGCAUCCCUCCGCAACAUCAGCAAACAAGCAGCAGUUUUGGUACGACUACUCCAAAUAUCACGCCAAUGUCAUCACCAC